CGAUUAAGCCAUGCAAGUCGAGAGGUGUAAGACCUCGGCAUACUGCUCAGUAACACGUGGUUAACCUGCCCUAAGGUGGAGAAUACUCCCGGGAAACUGGGGCUAAUGCUCCAUAGUGGAUAUCUCCUGGAAUGGUAUAUCCUCGAAAGAUCCGUCGCCUUAGGAUGGGACUGCGUCCGAUUAGGUUGUUGGCGGGGUAACGGCCCACCAAGCCUUUUAUCGGCACGGGUUGUGGGAGCAAGAUCCCGGAGAUGGAUUCUGAGACAUGAAUCCAGGCCCUACGGGGCGCAGCAGGCGCGCAAACUUUACAAUGCGAGCAAUCGUGAUAAGGAAACCCUGAGUGCCUGUCGAUGCAGGCUGUUCAUAUAUCUAAAUCAUAUGUGAAGAAAGGGCAGGGCAAGACCGGUGCCAGCCGCCGCGGUAAUACCGGCUGCUCGAGUGAUGGCCACUAUUACUGGGUUUAAAGCGUCCGUAGCUUGACUGUUAGGUCUCUUGGGAAAUCUUCGCGCUCAACGUGAAGGCGUCUAAGAGAUACCGGCAGUCUUGGAACUGGGAGAGGUAAACCGUACUUCGGGGGUAGGAGUGAAAUUUUGUAAUCCUCGAGGGACGACCUAUGGCGAAGGCAGUUUACCAGAACAGCUUCGACAGUGAGGGACGAAAGCUGGGGGAGCAAACGGGAUUAGAUACCCCGGUAGUCCCAGCCGGAAACAAUGUGCGUUAGGUGUGUCGGUAACCACGUGUUACUGAUGCGCCGAAGAGAAAUCGUGAAACGCACCACCUGGGAAGUACGGUCGCAAGGCUGAAACUUAAAGGAAUUGGCGGGGGAGCA
This 829-nucleotide ribosomal RNA is filed under the name uncultured archaeon. RNAcentral's name for it is "bacterial SSU rRNA". It matches the Rfam family "Archaeal small subunit ribosomal RNA", at positions 41 to 878 of the family's 1478-position model. The record is from RNAcentral.